UGAGGCAGUCAAAGUAGGCAAAUCCGCUUUGAUAAUGCUGGGAUGUGAUGGGGAGCGAAAUUUAGUAGCGAAGUAGCUGAUUUCACACUGUCAAGAAAAGUCUCUAUCGAGGUUAAAGGUACCCGUACCGCAAACCGACACAGGUGGGUGAGGAGAGUAUCCUAAGGCCAGCGAGAGAACUGUUGUUAAGGAACUCGGCAAAAUGACCCCGUAACUUAGGGAUAAGGGGUGCCACCAUCAGGUGGCCGCAGAGAAUAGGCCCAAGCGACUGUUUACCAAAAACAUAGGUUUCUGCUAAGUCGCAAGACGAUGUAUAGGAGCUGACGCCUGCCCGGUGCUGGAAGGUUAAGGGGAUCUGUUAGAGCAAUCGAAGCAGUGAACUUAAGCCCCAGUAAACGGCGGCCGUAACUAUAACGGUCCUAAGGUAGCGAAAUUCCUUGUCGGGUAAGUUCCGACCCGCACGAAAGGCGUAACGAUUUGGGCACUGUCUCAACAACAGACUCGGUGAAAUUGUAAUUCCGGUGAAGAUGCCGGAUACCUGCGACAGGACGGAAAGACCCCAUGGAGCUUUACUGUAGCUUGACAUUGGGUCUUGGUACUACAUGUACAGGAUAGGUGGGAGGCUUUGAAACCAGGACGCCAGUUUUGGCGGAGCCAUCCUUGGGAUACCACCCUUGUA
Molecule: ribosomal RNA, 679 nt
Filed under: Clostridioides difficile
Lineage: Bacteria; Bacillati; Bacillota; Clostridia; Peptostreptococcales; Peptostreptococcaceae
Description: partial 23S ribosomal RNA
Rfam family: Bacterial large subunit ribosomal RNA
Source: RNAcentral